Transfer RNA from Aspergillus versicolor CBS 583.65, 74 nucleotides. It matches the Rfam family "tRNA". Rfam says of the family: Transfer RNA (tRNA) molecules are approximately 80 nucleotides in length. Their secondary structure includes four short double-helical elements and three loops (D, anti-codon, and T loops). The record is from Rfam. Lineage: Eukaryota; Fungi; Ascomycota; Eurotiomycetes; Eurotiales; Aspergillaceae.
GGUUCCAUAACUCAGUCGGUUAGAGUGUCGUGCUAAUAACGCGAAAGUCGAGGGUUCGACCCCCUCUGGGACCA